RNAcentral lists this transfer RNA (73 nucleotides) under Ovis aries (sheep). It matches the Rfam family "tRNA". From Rfam's summary of the family: Transfer RNA (tRNA) molecules are approximately 80 nucleotides in length. Their secondary structure includes four short double-helical elements and three loops (D, anti-codon, and T loops). The record is from Rfam by way of RNAcentral. Lineage: Eukaryota; Metazoa; Chordata; Mammalia; Artiodactyla; Bovidae.
UCCCUGGUGGCUCAGAUGGUAAAGCAUCUGCCCACAGUGCAGGAGACCCGGGGUUCAAUCCCUGGUUUGGGAA